GAAGAAGGCCUUCGGGUUGUAAAGUACUUUCAGCAGUGAGGAAGGUGGGUAUGUUAAUAGCAUACUCAUUUGACGUUAGCUGCAGAAGAAGCACCGGCUAACUCCGUGCCAGCAGCCGCGGUAAUACGGAGGGUGCGAGUACGUUAAUCGGAAUUACUGGGACGUAAAGCGCAUGCAGGUGGUUUGUUAAGUCAGAUGUAGAAACGGCCCGGGGCUACAACCUCGGUAAUUGCUAUUAGAAACUGGACAAACUAGAGUACUGUAGAGGGGGUAGAAUUUCAGGUGUAGCGGUGAAAUGCGUAGAGAUCUGAAGGAAUACCGGUGGCGAAGGCGGCCCCCUGGACAGAUACUGACACUCAGAUGCGAAAGCGUGGGGAGCAAACAGGAUUAGAUACCCUGGUAG
This 403-nucleotide ribosomal RNA is filed under the name uncultured bacterium. RNAcentral describes it as "bacterial SSU rRNA". It matches the Rfam family "Bacterial small subunit ribosomal RNA", at positions 407 to 793 of the family's 1533-position model. The record is from RNAcentral.